UUAAAAUUCAUACCAGACUAAAAAAAGCCAGAGGCUCCCGCAAAAUUGCGGCGGGGUUAAACAUGUUUUUGAUAUCUUAACCCUCCCCCUCCCCUAUACCUCUAGCCAAUGUAGAAAAACAAGGACACAGAAAUACGCACAGUAAAACUCAGUUUAAGAGAAGUCCGAGUCCGAUGUCAGAAUAUGAAACAAAAAGAACAUAAACAAAAUGACAAUAAUACAUAAAUAACAACAGACUAUACCAGCAAUUACUGACAUGCCAGGUCAAGACCUCAAUUACUAGUAUACUGAUUGAAAGAUUAUGUCUUAUUAUGUGAUUAAGUACUCAUUCCUUCCGUUUUUACCUCCGUCUUUAGAACAACUGAAGAUACAUAAAAUGCA
This 381-nucleotide long non-coding RNA is filed under the name Mytilus galloprovincialis (Mediterranean mussel). The record is from RNAcentral. Lineage: Eukaryota; Metazoa; Mollusca; Bivalvia; Mytilida; Mytilidae.